UGUGUAUUUUCAUCAUUCCAGGUGAACACAACUGGAUUCUUCCCUUAAUAGCCUCCAAUAUAUUCUCUGUUAUCAUAAUCACACUUCUGCUUGGAGUUUUAUAUAAAAAUCACAGAAAAGAUGCUUCAUCAAGCAACCAUCAAAUUCCCACCAAUCAGACUGCGGUUGCUGCUGCUGAUGACGAUGAUGUCUUGAACUAUGCAGCUGUGAGUUUUGCUAAAAAACCAUCCUCCAGAACAUCCAGAGCCAAGAGCCAUGAAGACGUUUACAUUCAUGUUAAAAUAAAAUAGAAAUUAUAUUUUACUGAAGCGUUCUUCAGUUUUUCUCAGAAUUUUUUCUUGAAAUAGUGCAGAAGAUUUCUAAACUGUAAAAAAAAAAAAUAUUAUUGUUUUUGAUAUUGAAAGUUUUUAAUUAAGUUUUUUUUUUUUUUUUUUUUUUUAUGCACCACUGUUUUUGUGCUGCUCCGGGUGUGUGUUCAUGUCUGUGUGUUCACUUUGGAUGGGUUAAAUGUAGAGAACGAAUUCUGAAUAUGGGUCACCGCACUUAGCUGCAUUUCACGUCACUUAACUUCUAAAAUGUAAAAGAAAAAAAAUAAUUAUUGUUUUUGAUAUUGAAGGUUUUUAAAUAAGCUUUUGUUUUCUUGGAUCACAGUUUUGGUCCAAUUUUAAGUUAUUUCAGAUUAAUAAAACAUCAUCUUUUCCAGAAAUAUUAAGAGCCUGUAAGUGAAAGAGAGCUGAAUAUAAAGAUUCCAACAUUACUGAUGAGAUGUGGCUGUUUAACCUGAAAUUAAAUUUCAGACACUGAACAUUAAAUCAGAUUAAAAAUGUAUGAUGAGACCGAUGAUGUGCAAGAAGUGCUUUAUUUUAAAUGUUUUCAGACUAUUUACAUUAACAAAUUUCACAAAUACCACAGUGUAUUUUUUGUGUUCCUAUUUAAGCUAAUUUUAGCAACAUGUCCAUUGCCACAGAUGUCUCUAAAUGACAUCACUGGUUGUAUUAAAAUUUCUGUUAAGUAGAGAAUUAAUAAACACAUC
Tachysurus fulvidraco (yellow catfish) is the source of this 1033-nucleotide long non-coding RNA. RefSeq lists it as uncharacterized. NCBI's taxonomy places the organism in Eukaryota, Metazoa, Chordata, Actinopteri, Siluriformes, Bagridae. The record is from RefSeq and is a predicted model, not a curated record. The transcript has 3 exons.